GAGUCUGGCCUGUGAAUUCUUUCCUUCCUUACUUCAUUCAUUCCAUCUUUAUUGAGAGCCCACUACGUGCCCCUGUGCCCACAGCCCAGGGUGGUGGUAGGAGAGGGUUAAGAGCAGGAAUUUGGAGUUAGGACUGGAUCCAAAUCCUGGUUCCUAUUGUAUUCUCCCCUCCUGUGUGCCCUUAGACAAGGGACUUGCCCUCUCUGAGCUUCCACUUCCUCGUGGACAGGAUAGAGAUGAGCAGAGUGAGGACUUGAAGGAGGUGGAGGUCAGGGUUCAGGGAAAUGGGGCUCUUGGGCCAGACCUGACACAGAGUGGGGGGUAGGAGGUGGGUCCUCUCUUCACAUUGAGGGGACAUGCCCAGGCCCCCAGUAUCCCCGCCAACUGUGGGUCCUGGGUUUCCUGCAUCCUCCCCUGGUUUCAGACUUUGGAGGGUCCUUAACAAAGCCAAGUCGACCCCAAGGCCUCUGCCCGGGGCCUCCCUCUGGCUGGCUUCUCACCAGCCUGGCCCUUCCAAGGCUGCUGCGGAUGGCAGCCAGCGGGGCCUGCCCUAGGCUCAGUCUCCCGGCCUCCACGCCCUCCUCCCCAGCCUCCUCCCUUCCCCAGGUCCCUCUCCUCCUGGCCUGCUCCUCCCUGCUCCCAGGCUGGGCCAGAGGUCGGAGCCCUGAGGUCUGGGGGCAAGGGGCAGUCAGAACAGGACCGGGCUCAGUGCCUGGCCCUCCCUCCCCCGACAGACUUCGCCCCAUCCAGGGUGCCAGUCUGCUCUCCUUCCAAGGCCCAGAAGUGAAGGGGCUUCCGUUGCCAGACCCAGGCCUGCCGAAGGGCCCAGUGUCUUCCCACCAGAUCUUCCACCGGCCGCGUGAGGUGGGCCUGGCAGAGCCAAGUUCCGUGGGGCCUGACCGUUUACAAUCUGGGGACCCUCUUUAAGAAAACUGGUGCCAAGUUUUGCAUUCCCAUGGAGCCCAGGGCCUUGGCAGGGCCGUGCCAGCGAGAGUCCCUGGCACCAAGGCUUCGUUGGCUUCUUGGUAAGUCACCUCUGUUGUGGGUGACACAAUAGCCAUCCCUUUGCAGAGGUGGAAACAGAGCUUAGGCGGGGUCUCACUGGCCCAAGGUCACACAGCUGGAAAGAGCAAAGCUGGGAUUCGAGCCGAGGUCUUACCCCACAGGCAACAACUACCUCAGAGCACAUACCACCUCGACUGCAGGCCACAUGUCACCUGUCCCCGCGUGGGUCCAGCCCAGGCAAGGCCAGGGAGACCAGCCUGUGCCCCUCCCUCCCAAGGCCUUCAUGCCCCGAGGCUCCUUUCUCACUUCUGACAACAACCACACAGUACCAGGAGGUAGGUCUCUUCUGACCUUUUCAUUCCCACAGCUUUUCCUGCACACUCCAGAACUCCAGCUCCUCCACUGACCUUGAGGGAACACCCCCUGUUGGGUGGUGAGCUCCCUGGGGGCAGGGGCUGGAUCUGUCUGCUUUGGCCUUGCACCCCGUUCUCAGCCCAGUACAGGCACGGAGCAGCCAGUCGGAGCACAUUUAGCAGUUACAUCUCGUCCAGGCUGGAGGAGGAGGAGGCAGGGGUGGUGGAGAGGUUGUGACACUGCAGAUUGCUGGGCCUCUCCAGACCUACUGAAUCAGGCUCUCUGAGCCUAGGGCCUGGGGCUCUGCAUUUUACAGCUCCCUCGGUGCAUCUCAAGCUCAGUAAAGUUUGAGACUCAGUGACCCAGAGCCAGAAAGAGCAAAUGUGGGUCUAGACCAAGCCCCUCUCCCAAAGGGGAUUCUUUUCCCCUAAUUCUGGCUCAUUUUACCAGUGCAGCGAGCUCAUCUUCCAGCUGAGAGCUAAUCGUUUCUAAUGCUUAUUAAAGACCUACUGUGUGCCUGGGACUGGAUCAGAGGUUUCAGAGACCUGCCUCACUGGACACUCACAAAAACCCCAAGAGGCAGGGACAAUUGUUGUCCCAUUUUACAGAUGGAGAAACUGAGACCUGGGGAGGUAAAGUGACUUGCAGAGGGACACGGCACCAGGGAAGGAGGAGGCUGGAGACGGAAGGCUGUCUGCGGGCCCACUGAGCUCAGGAGCGAAACGGCCAGGGUCUCGCGAGAACAUCUGGAUCUGAGAGCGGAGACAGCAGCCUGUGAAUGGCUGGGAGAAAGCAGACACCCUGCAGAGUCGAUACAGGGACCCCGAGCUUAGAUGGCCAACCAACUCAGGCGACAGACCCCAAAGAAAUCUGAUCCAGGCGGCCUCUUCUCCCUGGUAUCUUUGGAGUCUGCGUUCUGGGAAUGUGUGUUUGCGGAAGGAUUUCACGUGUUUGCUUCAGGCAAAUCUUUGCCUUUUCUCUGCCAGCAGUUCUGGUGCAAAAGGGAAGGGGCCUGGUCAGCAAGAGGAGAGAAGCGGGGCUGCUGGCGGGCGGGCGGGUGGACACUGCUGCGGCCGCGUGCCCCCUCGGCUUGUCUGCGGGGCUGUAUCACUGACGCUCCCGGAGCCAGAGCCCUGUGCAAGCGCAGCAUGACUCCCACUCCAGGAGGGCAGUCGAGGCCCCGGGAGGUUUCCAGCGGGGAGGGGCCGAUUUACUGGCUGCUGCCCCUGGUCCCUGAGGGGGAACACCACCCAGAGAGGUUGGUUUUGCCUCACAAGAUAAAUGAUCUAAUAGUCAAGCUAGGCUUGUAGGUAGUGAGCGCUCCACCUGAGGAGAUAUUCAAGAAUUGGUGAGGUGCGUGCGUGCAUGCGUGUGUGUGUGUGUGUGUGUGUGUGCAUACAGAGCCAUGACUCGGGAAAAGCAUUGGCUGAGGCAACUUGCAGAGCUUUUUCAGUGUUGAGAGCCUGGGAAUUUCCAUUCCUAACAUAACUGAGCAGCCUAAGUGGGGCCAAUGUGAAAAACGAACAGAGGGAAGGUGGCAGGUUAAGGUGCCCAGGCUGGGAACCGCAGACCCUGGAGAGCCCCCAGGGCCACCGAGCCAAGCCCCCAGCCCUUGGCCUUCCAACAGAACUGCCAUUUCUGGAUGUUCCCAUGUGCUGCUCUCUCUUGCAGUCAUCCGCAAAUGCCCAUUAACCUUUCAUUAGAAUGAUUAAUAAUAAUAUUACUGAUAACUCACGAUCAAUGCCGUAAUACCUAGGAACUGAGCGCUUACUGAGACAGGCUCAAUUCUAAGUGCUGUGUAUGUAUAAACACACGUAGCAGACAUGACAGUCUGUGAGCCAUGUCCUUACAUUUACUCUCAUUCCCGUUUUACAGACCAGGACACUGAGGCUCAGAGAGCUGACCUUCUAAGCCAGAGGACUCAGAGCCAGGCUCAGGAAGGGAGCUGGGAAAUGCCGGUGGAGGGCCGAGGACCCGGGCCACUCCCAACCCCGGGGGACAGAGCAGCAGAACCCGGAAUGGGAACGGGGAGAGGGGACUAUCUCACCCAGCGUCCUCAUUUUACACUAGAGAAGCGCGUUUCAGAGAGGGGGAGAGCCGUGUCAAGGUCGCCAGCAGGUCCACUGACCAAUCGCUGGGUCUCCUGACUCCUCCACGUGGGCUUUUGCUGCCCUCCCACAUCCGAUUCCUCUUUAAAAACGAUAUUUUAAAGACUAUUAGGAGUGACACAUCACUCAGUGAACAUUCCUAAAGGAACGGGAAGACGUGACCCGAGCGAGCGGUUGCCGUGGGCCAGGUCACGUGUGCGGAGGUCAUGCUGCUGUCACCUGAAAGUGGAGGGAGCACGGCUGCUCCCUGCUGAUGUCCCAGCAAGGGGUCAGGUGGAUGCUGACGGGGGUAUGAAGGCGCCUUAGAGACCGGAAGACAUGGUCAACAGGAUCCUCUCUGAAUGUUGGGCACAGGAGUUAGAAGUAAGGCUGUGGCUCAUCCCGGGGAAACCGAGUGACAGUUAGGGCCCAGAAGAAAUUGGUUCUUCCAGGGCGGGAUCCUCCCUAGAAGGUGUCCUGGGCCCCCGUUCAAAACCGUGUCCUGAGCAUCCGCCGCACGCAGCAGCAUGGUCAGCCCAGCGGCUUUGAGCACAGUCUCUGAGUCCACACCCCGGGGCCUGAGUUCAAGUCUGGCCUCACGGGUCCAGGCUCACGUGGGCUCAGUGUCUCAUUAGGAUGCGCCCGCCCACUCUUGCAGAACCCAAGAAACAGCGGGUGGAGCAGAGAGGGGCUCAUUUCCCUCCCGUGUGGGUCUAGGGGGCUCUGCCCUGGGAGCUGGUCCAGGGCCCAGGCCCCUUCUGUCUCUCCUAUCUACAAGGCCAAAGAUGGCCACCACCUCCCCACCUCCAUUCUUUCCUCACUGUGUUGGGGGAACCCAGGAGGUGGGAGACGCCUCUUCUUUUUAAGGGCAAGGUGGAAGGUGCAUGGUUCAUCUCUCUUACGUCCCAUUGGCCAGAACUGAUCACAUGACAACACCUAGCUGCAAGGGAGACUGGGAGAUGUAGUAUUUAGCCUGGCAGCCAUGUGUCUCAUUAAAACCCAGGAAGGGAUGUUGUGUUACUGAAGGAGAGAUGGCAGAAUGGAUACUGGGCAAUAGCCAGCAGCCUCUGCCACCUGGGAGUCAGGGAGAUACUUUGGGGAGAUGCUCAGCACAGGGCCAGGUACAUGGCUGAUGCUCAGGAAGUAUGUGCUGUUAUCAUUGGCAUUACAGACGGGGGUUGUUUGAACUUUCCCAAGGGAUGCAGGGACCUGCUGAGGCCCAAGCCCGGGGAGAGCUCUGGCUGCAUCGUGGGGGCCUCCAUCCCUGCCUUGCGUCCUCUAGGUGAUGAGGAGAAGCACUGAGAGACAGCAACCCCCAGCUCAACCCCUCAGGGCCCCACGGCCCAGGCUAGGGAGCAUCUCGGGCCUCCUCCCUCCCUUCAAGGAAAACAUAGAAAAGCAGCUUAGUCUUCAGGGCUUGGGGACAGGAGAGCCAGGUGACAUUGGGGGUCUUGCAGCCCUGCCCCACGGCUGCCUUCAUGGAGCAUGGCAGCCUCCACCAGCCCAGAGCAGGAGGCCAGGGUCCACCUUGCAGACCCCAGCCUCUCAAACUCUGGUCAGAAGGCCAGGCAGGGCUCUCUGUCCCUCCUGAUGCAGCACCAGGUGAUCUGAGCUCAGAAACGUCCCCUCCCGAAACAUUCUGCUCUGGACCUGAAGCCCUUCCCAGCCCGAGGAGGACUGGUGGGUGGCAGCACCUCCACUGAGCACUGCAUCCCCGUGGGUCCAGCUCACUCCCAGCCGGUGGGUGGGAGGGUCUCUUCUCCUGCCUUCGCUGGGUACAGGGUCGGGAGCUGAGACCCCCGGAUCAGAGAACCCCUGACUCUGCCUCUUAGCAGCCACGUAAGCUGGUCUCUCCAAUGAUGUUGAUGUUGAUGACCCAAUUAUGAUGGUGAUGGAUGAUGAUAAGGGCAUCCAUAUCUCCCUCUUUUUGUAAAGAUUAUAAAAGAAUCCAUGCAAGCAGCUUGCAGAGAGAAAGACCUCAAGGAACCGUGCCUGCUCAGAUCAGGAUUAUGACUGUUACUCUCUUUCAUCCCUUCCGCAGUCCUUGACUGUCUACCGCCUGUCCACAACUCCCUACUGGUGAUGUCCUCCCAUCCUGCAGUCUACACGGUUCCAGGCCUGGGUGGGGCCCAUAAAGUGAACAAGACAGUAGUGGUCCCUGCCCACAUGGAGCUCCCAGCCCGAGGAUGACAGUCCAUCCCACAGCAAGGGGAUUCUCCCCAGAACUGCCGCGGCAGGAGUGAUCCGAGGACCCGCUCAAGGAGCGCCAGGCUAGGAGUCGGGCCUCUGCUCCCGUGUGAGCCUCAGUGGCAGAAGAGGAAUCGGGCAGCUGGUCUGCAGACUGGCCCACCCUGUGGGAAGAGCACUGGACGGCGAGUCCCAGGCAGGCUGUGGCAGGGCCUCGCUGUGCACCUGGCCCAGGCGUGCCGCCUCUCUGGUCAUGCGGUGGGGGCUGGCUGAGCCCCUCCUGGCCUGGCCCCUGUGGGCCACAAUCUCUCAUGUCAACUGCAUCCCACCGUGAUGGUUCUCGGCAGCUGGUCGUGGCAGCUUCAGAAUCUCGUCCUUUUCAGGACCUCAUUCUCAGGUUAGUUCGCACUUUCUAGAAGUUUCUCUGAGUGGAAUCACACAGUACACAUUCUUCGUCGCCUGGCUCCCCUCACUCAGCAUAAC
This is a non-coding RNA of Equus caballus (horse), 6116 nucleotides long. The record is from RefSeq and is a predicted model, not a curated record. Lineage: Eukaryota; Metazoa; Chordata; Mammalia; Perissodactyla; Equidae.